GAUGAACGCUAGCGGCAGGCUUAAUACAUGCAAGUCGUGGGGCAGCAUGAGUAGCAAUACUUGAUGGCGACCGGCAAACGGGUGAGGAACACGUACACAACCUUCCUUCAAGCGGGGAAUAGCCCAGAGAAAUUUGGAUUAAUACCCCAUAAUAUAUUUGAUAAGGCAUCUUAUUAAUAUUAAAGCUUCGGCACUUGAUGAUGGGUGUGCGGCUGAUUAGAUAGUUGGCGGGUAACGGCCCACCAAGUCUACGAUCAGUAGCUGAUGUGAGAGCAUGAUCAGCCACACGGGCACUGAGACACGGGCCCGACUCCUACGGGAGGCAGCAGUAAGGAAUAUUGGACAAUGGACGAAAGUCUGAUCCAGCCAUGCCGCGUGAAGGAUUAAGGUCCUCUGGAUUGUAAACUUCUUUAUAUGGGACGAAAAAGGGCAUUCUUGUUCACUUGACGGUACCAUAUGAAUAAGCACCGGCUAACUCCGUGCCAGCACG
Molecule: ribosomal RNA, 490 nt
Filed under: uncultured bacterium
Lineage: Bacteria
Description: bacterial SSU rRNA
Rfam family: Bacterial small subunit ribosomal RNA
Source: RNAcentral